UCUGGGAGAGCGGCGGUUAAGACUUGCAGUGAUGUUUAGCUAAUGUAUUACAUGAACAUCACGGUGAGUCUGUGCUACCUCUCUCCUCA
This 89-nucleotide microRNA precursor is filed under the name Pelodiscus sinensis (Chinese soft-shelled turtle). Its description in RNAcentral is "miRNA (ENSPSIG00000019641.1)". The stretch from base 4 to 83 matches the Rfam family "mir-499 microRNA precursor family". Lineage: Eukaryota; Metazoa; Chordata; Testudines; Trionychidae. The record is from RNAcentral.